UAACGAAUAUUCCGCAAUGGGCGAAAGCCUGACGGAGCGACGCCGCGUGGAGGACGAAUUCCUUCGGGAUGUAAACUCCUUUUGGGGUGAAGAAAACAAGGAGCGCUAAUACCGCUUUGCGUUGAUCGAUCCCAGAAUAAGCCUGGGCUAAUUCCGUGCCAGCAGCCGCGGUAAGACGGAACAGGCAAGCGUUGUUCGGAAUCACUGGGCUUAAAGCGCGUGUAGGCGGCUCGGUAAGUACCGUGUGAAAUCCCCCGUCUCAACCGGGGCACUGCUUGGUAUACUGCCGGGCGCGAGGUAGGUAGGGGUGCCUGGAACUCUAGGUGGAGCGGUGAAAUGCGUAGAUAUCUAGAGGAACGCCUGUGGCGAAAGCGGGGCACUGGGCCUUACCUGACGCUGAGGCGCGAAAGCGUGGGUAGCAAACG
This 425-nucleotide ribosomal RNA is filed under the name uncultured prokaryote. Its description in RNAcentral is "bacterial SSU rRNA". It matches the Rfam family "Bacterial small subunit ribosomal RNA", at positions 355 to 774 of the family's 1533-position model. The record is from RNAcentral.